RNAcentral lists this ribosomal RNA (525 nucleotides) under uncultured bacterium. RNAcentral describes it as "bacterial SSU rRNA". It matches the Rfam family "Bacterial small subunit ribosomal RNA", at positions 791 to 1308 of the family's 1533-position model. The record is from RNAcentral.
UAGUCCACGCCCUAAACGAUGUGUGCUAGUUGUUGGGAGUUCAGCUCUCAGUGACGCAGCUAACGCGUUAAGCACACCGCCUGGGGAGUACGGCCGCAAGGUUAAAACUCAAAGAAAUUGACGGGGACCCGCACAAGCGGUGGAGCAUGUGGUUUAAUUCGAAGCAACGCGAAGAACCUUACCAACCCUUGACAUCCUGGUCGCGGAUUAGAGAGAUCUUUUCCUUCAGUUCGGCUGGACCAGUGACAGGUGCUGCACGGCUGUCGUCAGCUCGUGUCGUGAGAUGUUCGGUUAAGUCCGGCAACGAGCGCAACCCCUAUUUCCAGUUACCAUCAUUUAGUUGGGGACUCUGGCAAAACUGCCCGUGACAAGCGGGAGGAAGGUGGGGACGACGUCAAGUCAUCAUGGGCCUUACGGGGUUGGGGCUACGACACGUGCUACAAUGGGCGGUGACAAUGGGGCAGCAAGCUCGCGAGGGGCAAGGCUAAUCCCUAAAAAACCGUCUCAGUUCGGGAUUGGGACUCU